GAAAUUGUGUUAUACUGGAGUUAUACCGGACUAGGUUAAAAUGUUGAAAAGUAGGUUAAAUCGGGAAAAUUAGAAAUGACCAAAAUACCCCUAGGAAUUGAUUUUAGUCUUAGGGUUAUAAAAGGGGCAAAUUAGUCAUUUUAGUGAUGGAUAUUAAUUUUGUCCUAUAUGGAUUUUUGGCUGAAAUUGAGGUUUAUAUUAGUUAGAUAAGUUUAUUUAAAAUUUAGUUUAAUAAAAUAAAAGGGAUAAAGCUUAUAAAGAAAGAAAAGAAGUAAAAACCAAAUAUUAUCCAAGUCUUUCUCUUCCCCUUCGGCAGGCCUAGCACCCCAAGCAAGAAAUUAGAAAUUUUCUUGCAAUUUCAACCAGUUUUUAGCAGGAUUGAUCAAGGUUAGAAGUCUCCUAAGUUGUGAGGUAAGUUCUCUAUCUUUCUCUAGUUGAUUUUUGAAGUAUGGAUUGAGUUUUGGUUAGGGUUUUAGGAUUUCAGGUCUGAGGUGCUAAACUGAGUUUAGAUUAUGUUUUUAGGUUUGAUUUAGGGUUUUCUUGAGUUCAAAUUAAGUGUAUUUAAUGGCUGUUUGGUUUGGAAUUAGAAAUUUUAGUUUAAGAACCUAAUUUUUGGUUCUAGCAUGGUGUUUUGAAUAUUUUGAUGAAUUGUUGAGAACUGUUUGUUUGAAUGCAUUAUUUUUAUGGUACAAAACUGUUCUAGAGAGUUUGAAUAAGUUUGGAAGCAAUUUGGUUGGGUUUUGGUGCAAAAACCAGAGUUUCCCUUUUCUGCAUCAGGGAAACCGAUUAACCAGUUUCACAGGUAUAGUGAAACUGAUCAACUAGUUUUGCCAGCAAGGGAAACACUAGUUUUUGGCUUUGAAAUCGGUUUUCAUCGGGGUGUUUUUUAGAGCUUAGAUUAGGGUAUUUUAGUGAUGUUUAAGUUAUUUUGAACCAGUGGGGAGUUAGAAUUUGUCCAGUUAUGGAAUUAGGGUUUGUUUUGGAGUUUGAUUAAGUUAUUUUAUUGGAUUUUGUAGGACUCGGGAUCAUCGAGCUUUAUUCCACUGAGUUCGGCGUGCACACUUGAUUACUGAACUGAGAUAAAGGGAAGGGCAAAGUGGAUCAGCCAUAAGUCAGAGGUCUCCCAACGAUGUACAUAUCAACCGCAGUGCCUCGGUUUCCAGUGGACAGGAUCCACUCCUUUUGACUGUAUUUUGAAAGUAUAAUUCGAUGUUGUAAUACCACUUUUGGAACAAAUUGUAAAAGUUUUUAUACAGGGGAUCCCCGUACUUAACAUUAGUUUUCUUUUAUAAAAAUUAUGUUUUUAUUUUAA
Cannabis sativa is the source of this 1312-nucleotide long non-coding RNA. RefSeq lists it as uncharacterized. The record is from RefSeq and is a predicted model, not a curated record. NCBI's taxonomy places the organism in Eukaryota, Viridiplantae, Streptophyta, Magnoliopsida, Rosales, Cannabaceae. The transcript has 2 exons.